Molecule: transfer RNA, 82 nt
Filed under: bacterium
Lineage: Bacteria
Description: tRNA-Leu
Rfam family: tRNA
About the family: Transfer RNA (tRNA) molecules are approximately 80 nucleotides in length.
Source: RNAcentral
GCCCGGGUGGCGGAACUGGCAAACGCGUACGACUCAAAAUCGUGUGCCGCAAGGCUUGUGGGUUCGACUCCCACCCCGGGCA